GAGGAAUUUUGCGCAAUGGGGGAAACCCUGACGCAGCAACGCCGCGUGAAUGAUGAAGGCUUUCGGGUCGUAAAGCUCUGUCAAGUGGGAAGAACUCAUGUGGUGUUAAUAUCGCCACAUGCUGACGGUACCA
Molecule: ribosomal RNA, 133 nt
Filed under: uncultured bacterium
Lineage: Bacteria
Description: partial 16S ribosomal RNA
Rfam family: Bacterial small subunit ribosomal RNA
Source: RNAcentral